This 401-nucleotide ribosomal RNA is filed under the name Klebsiella pneumoniae. Its description in RNAcentral is "partial 23S ribosomal RNA". It matches the Rfam family "Bacterial large subunit ribosomal RNA", at positions 2313 to 2713 of the family's 2925-position model. The record is from RNAcentral. Lineage: Bacteria; Pseudomonadati; Pseudomonadota; Gammaproteobacteria; Enterobacterales; Enterobacteriaceae.
AAGGUUAGCUAAUCCUGGUCGGACAUCAGGAGGUUAGUGCAAUGGCAUAAGCUAGCUUGACUGCGAGCGUGACGGCGCGAGCAGGUGCGAAAGCAGGUCAUAGUGAUCCGGUGGUUCUGAAUGGAAGGGCCAUCGCUCAACGGAUAAAAGGUACUCCGGGGAUAACAGGCUGAUACCGCCCAAGAGUUCAUAUCGACGGCGGUGUUUGGCACCUCGAUGUCGGCUCAUCACAUCCUGGGGCUGAAGUAGGUCCCAAGGGUAUGGCUGUUCGCCAUUUAAAGUGGUACGCGAGCUGGGUUUAGAACGUCGUGAGACAGUUCGGUCCCUAUCUGCCGUGGGCGCUGGAGAAUUGAGGGGGGCUGCUCCUAGUACGAGAGGACCGGAGUGGACGCAUCACUGGU